Molecule: ribosomal RNA, 460 nt
Filed under: uncultured bacterium
Lineage: Bacteria
Description: partial 16S ribosomal RNA
Rfam family: Bacterial small subunit ribosomal RNA
Source: RNAcentral
CCUACGGGAGGCAGCAGUGAGGAAUAUUGGUCAAUGGACGCAAGUCUGAAGCAGCCAUGUAGCGUGAAGGAUGACUGCCCUAUGGGUUGUAAGCUUCUUUUAUAUGGGAAUAAAAUGUUCCACGUGUGGGAUUUUGUAUGUACCAUAUGAAUAAGGAUCGGCUAACUCCGUUCCAGCAGCCGCGGUAAUACGGAGGGUCCGAGCGUUAUCCGGAUUUAGUGGGUUUAAAGGGAGCGUAGGUGGAGUGUUAAGUCAGUUGUGAAAGUUUGCGGCUCAACCGUAAAAUUGCAGUUGAAACUGGCAGUCUUGAGUACAGUAGAGGUGGGCGGAAUUCGUGGUGUAGCGGUGAAAUGCUUAGAUAUCACGAAGAACUCCGAUUGCGAAGGCAGCUCACUGGACUGCAACUGACACUGAGGUGCGAAAGUGUGGGUAUCAAACAGGAUUAGAUACCCCAGUAGUC